Molecule: ribosomal RNA, 254 nt
Filed under: uncultured bacterium
Lineage: Bacteria
Also listed under: 1 other name
Description: partial 16S ribosomal RNA
Rfam family: Bacterial small subunit ribosomal RNA
Source: RNAcentral
UACGAGGGGUGCAAGCGUUGUCCGGAUUUACUGGGCGUAAAGCGUUUCGUAGGCGACUUUGUAAGUUAAACUUCAAAGACCGAGGCUCAACUUCGGGAAGGGGUUUAAUACUGCAAAGCUUGAAAUAUUUCGGGGUUACUGGAACUAUCGGUGUAGGGGUGAAAUCCGUUGAUAUCGAUAGGAACUCCAAGGGCGAAGGCAGGUAACUAGGAAUUAUUUGACGCUGAGGAACGAAAGCUAGGGGAGCGAAAGGG